GAGAGAUCAAAGCAAGCAACAGCCAGAGCUCUUGGGUCACUAGAUGUGUCCAAAAUUGUAAUAAGGACCCUCAGAAUCUGGAAAUCAUUCUCUUCAAAAUUGUUAAUAUUUUCACGCCAGAAUAUAGGAUCUUUGUGCAUAGGAGACCAGUCAAGAUGCCCAAGGAGGACUUCUUGCUUAUACUUAUCAAAAGAACUCAGUUUCUUAAUGUUAUCCCUCAAGCCUUCUUCCAGUUGGUUCAGAGCCUCCAACAAGUCCUCAUCACUCCAUGCCUGUGCUUUCAAACUUUGAACAAUUUGUGGUAGACCAAGGUCUACCAUCUGUGCACCAAAAGUACCUUUGGCAAGCAAGUUCCUAAAGGUCAAGACAAUCACCCUGACAACCUUUUCUUUAGUGGAACUCUUUACAACCUCUAUUAGUCGCGGCAAGGUUCUUGAAGUAGCCAAGUAUUCAAUUGCUGGUUCAUAGUACGAUAAUAGCCAGACACAGAGACAUGUUUCAUAGAGAAGCUGGAUAGAUUGCAGGCUAGAUGCAGGAGAAAUUAAAGGUAUCAACAGCUUCACUCCAUCUGCUUUAACAAAUGAAGACCUCACUACAGGUUCCCUGAGUAAUGUUGCUAGGCAACUAAUAGCAGUUGGAACACCCCGACUCGGAUGAGAAGGCUUCUUCAGCUGAGCACAAAGCCAUUCAACCAAUCCUUUUAACACAUCAUCAAUGAAAGUGACUUUACUCUUUGAGUUUGACACUCGUCCAUUUGCAGUGAUGCCAUCUUGAGUUUUUGGCCUAGCACUACGGCAGUAGUGGAGUUAUUAUAAAAGAUUCAAUUUUGUUAUUAUGUAAACUUCACCUCUUCAACAGUUGUGGACUAAUAUUUUAAGUACCUUACUAUUAGUGCAAGAAUCUUGCAGCUCUUUUCUUGGAUGUACCAGUUACCUUUCCAAAGCAAUCUGAGAAUGACCAAAUAGGUUGUUUUAGUUUCCAAUAUUUUAACUGAAAUAGAAUGACUUAAGGUGGUGAAAUUCAAAUAAGCAAAACACAAAUGAAAAAGACCAAUUAUUUUGUUUAUAUCUUGGAAGAGAUAUGGCCAAAGGUAGAAGGUUAAAAAUAUAAAUCCAAAUAUGCAUAUAUUUUAAAAUAUUAUAAAGAUUUAGGUAUAAUGUACAAUGCCCCACAGUGUUCAACGAACUAACCAUAAACCAUGUUUCCAAUGGGCGUAAACCAGCUACUAUAUUUAUGCCCCAGGAAUACUUUCAUACAUACUUUCAAGUGCUAAUGUGGGCCACAACGAAAAUAAACUGAUACUCGUCAGAUCUGCUAUUAUUGGAUUUUUUUUUUCUUUUUUGGAAUUGGAAGGACGUGUUUGAUGCUAUUAAGUGUAGGAAACUAAUAUUCCCUGGAAUGCAAGAAUAACCAACUUAAAUUCAACUUAUUAAAUUGAGUUAAGCACAUUCAACCAAUAGGAAGAAAAGUUGGGUGCUCAUAUUGCAGUAGCCACAAAUCAGCUUUUGACAGAGAAAUGGCUAUUGAAAUGCUGCACUCAGAAUAACCAGAGUGCUGAGUCUCAAGAAAAUUGAAAAAAAAAAAAUAAUAACUCAAAUUCAAACAAGAAAAUGAUGGAUUCAAUAACUGAAUUGAACCUUAUUGCAUUGAAAGAUAAAAUCCCAUCAUACAUCUAAAACAUUGCUUAAAAAAAAAUAAAGCUCAAAUAAAACAACACAGCAAACUUUGAACAAAUACUCAACUUAAGAAAGGUUCAUAAGUAUCCUCAUUUGCAAGAGACUUAUCAUGGAAUAAUCUAGCUCUUUUUGGAUUAGCUGUUAGCAAUUCAUCAAUUAAAGCAAGAACAUAUUCAACUGUUUCUUCCUUAAAUAUAUCCCGUAAGAUGCUAACAAAUACCCGAACAUAAGCUGGACCAUCAUCAUCUAACAAUUGUGCCCUGUAACUUUCAGAUCGAUUAUCAUAGCGCCUCAACAGCUGAAGGUCAGUUCCUGAGAUCAGCUUUGUCAUCAUAUAUGUCUCCCAUGGGAUAUCCCUCUUAAGAACCUGUUCCGCAGUCAGUUCGGCUUGGGCCAUUGAUACUGAAACAACUCAAAACGACACAAAAUUAACACCAAUUCAAUGACCUACAGAAUCCAAAAUUAGAUGAAUCUAACUCGAGUUUCUCUUCAAUUUUCCACCAGGCGACAAAAAAUCCAAAUUCAGAGAGUGAAGGAAGAGGAAUACAAAGAAUUUUUCACUACAAAAUACAGAAAAAAUCAGAUCAUGAAGCAAAAAUCUAGAUUAAUUCUAUUUCACAUCACUGUAAAGAAAGGUAAACAAAAUGCACUUGGAAUUGGCCAGUGACAGAUUAUGAUUGAUUAAAUGAUAAACGAAUUAAAAGGAAAAAAAAUUGCAGAAAUUAAGCAUUAAAAUCCAGUGAAUUUAGCAGAGAUAAAAUGAUAGAUUUUAGUUCAGAAGACAAAUCGAUCGUCUACUUACCUUUUUUUUUUUUUUCUCUUCCUUC
RNAcentral lists this unclassified non-coding RNA (2503 nucleotides) under Hevea brasiliensis (rubber tree). The record is from RNAcentral. Lineage: Eukaryota; Viridiplantae; Streptophyta; Magnoliopsida; Malpighiales; Euphorbiaceae.